This 253-nucleotide ribosomal RNA is filed under the name uncultured bacterium. RNAcentral's name for it is "partial 16S ribosomal RNA". It matches the Rfam family "Bacterial small subunit ribosomal RNA", at positions 524 to 776 of the family's 1533-position model. The record is from RNAcentral.
UACGUAGGGUGCAAGCGUUGUCCGGAAUUAUUGGGCGUAAAGGGCGCGUAGGCGGCUUUUCAAGUGACGGGUGAAAUCCCUCGGCUUAACCGAGGAACUGCCUGUCAGACUGGAAGGCUUGAGACCGGGAGAGGUGAGUGGAAUUCCCAGUGUAGCGGUGAAAUGCGUAGAUAUUGGGAGGAACACCAGUGGCGAAGGCGGCUCACUGGACCGGAACUGACGCUGAGGCGCGAAAGCGUGGGGAGCAAACAGG